GAAUUGUUAAGGUCACAGUUAUUAUCAAUAGUGAGAAAACAUUGUAUUAAUGCCACACUUUGAGUGCUGGAUGGAUUCAACUUCUGCUUUUGAAGAAGCAGGAAGAAACCUAAGGAACUUUUUUUGCUGAUCUGAAAAGUAUUCAACCCAUGACUCAAAAACCAUAAUGUUAUUCAUUUAACCAGUACUACAUUGUAAAAUUAGACAAUUCCUUCCUUCUUUUUUGUCCUUGGCCAAUCACUGCCUGUUUACUGCAGUUGUGACUUCAGGAGGUAACAAUUAGAUAUUGUUUGUGUUGCCUAAUUGACUAAUAUGAGUAAAUGCUGCAGUGAAAGUUUGUCUGUUAAAGCUAUCAGAUGAUAGUGAACUCUACUUUGAUUUUAUAAAGAGAGCAGAUUUACACUCUUCAGCACCCCCACAUCUGAUAUUAAAAGGCCACACAUCUGUCUGUGCUGGCAAUCUGCCACAAGGUGCUUGCAAUCGUUUGUGGGCCAUUACCACACACCCUGUGCUGACCCUUUAUUGAAGAUUGGGUACUUGAUGUAUUUUUUUAAUUUACUAAGCAAGCACCAAGCCCAUGGGCUUCGUUACGCCAUUUUAGGGGUGCUUUAGCCCCCCCCUUCCCCCAAAAUUCUUCUCGGCCCUCCUAAAUAUUUGGCAAUGUUAUCUCCAUACACUGUACAUGGAUUUGUGAUUGCUUCAGUGAACUUUAACAUUUUAUAUGAAAACGGCAGCAGGGCCUAUUUCGGUUCUUCCCCCGUUUAGUCUGUGAUAGCACGUUCAGCCCAUCUAUGUAAUACAGUGGAAUAAUCCAAUUAGGUGGCGGAGCUAGAAGAGUGCCUGGGUGUCCAAAUUAAUUCCCUACUUUCACUUCCUCUAAUAAUUCAUUUCCUGUUCAUCUACAUGUUUAUUUCAACAUGCGGCAUCGUAGCAUUUUGUAUUAACUUUGUAUGUAAGUAUUAACACAAUUUAUAUUUGUUUACAUAACUUCCAGUAAAUCUAUAAAGCUAUCCAGUAAAGCUAUCCAGUAAAGCUAUAAUAAAUCACUCUUGAGUGUCCAGCCAAAUGUGGAUCAUCUAAGAUUCACUCUUUUUUUUGUGGCUUAAUUUGCACUCCGAUUUUAAUCAAAUCAGAUGCUAAUAUGAAUUGGGUCAAGUAAAACGUCAGGAGAGCAGUAGUGCCUUGCACAGUUUAGCUUGUGCAAUAAGUGAAAGUUUGAGGAAGUGGAAUAUCCGUGCUUGCCACAUACCCACAUGGAAAGCUUCCUUCCUGAACACAUAAGUGUCUGCAUGCGUGUUGUCCCGUUGCUGACCUCAUGAGGUUUUUAUCAUAAGCACUAGUGUGCUGUAUACAAAACUCACCACUUUGUGACGUUACUCCUGGAUUGUUUAAACAACGCUCACCGGUCAGGAAUGCUUGAUUUCGUGCAGAGUUUGUGACAAAAAGGUUAAAUGAGUAAAACACGGUGACUACAUCUUAGAUAUUCCCAUGUUACACUUAACAAUUUCCUUGUAAAUGUAAUAAAGAUGCAGUACUUUCUGUUUGUUAAAGUCACAAUGAAAUGGAAAUUCAAAACUUUUUUUUAAUGUUGUGGUAUUUUUAAUGACUAUUUUAAAAAAAUCUAUUUGCCCUCAUAAUCUUUAAUCAAAAAUGCUCAUCUUCUCCCCUCCUCGAAACGAUCUCUCUUUACUUCCAGUCGUGAUAAAUGGCAGGAGGGCGAGGCCUGGGAAAAAAUUGCAGCAAUUAGAAACAUGACCCAACUUCCAAUGAUCCUAUCAGUUCUCAAUGGACAAUUUUUACACCCGCCCUACCUUUUUUCUCAUUUCAGAAGCUGUUUGACUCGUAUCAGGACAAGGAAAAUAAGACAGCCAGCCUCAGCAAGUCUUUGCACAUUUUUUUGCCAGUGAACAGCAUUGGCUGAGAACAACACCAAUCCAGCACUGACCAAUACAAGCCAGCUUAGACCAGCAUGAAUAUUGACGCUGGUCUCUUGCAGCAAGACUCUUACUCACAGCCGGAGGAAAUAUGAUGACUAUUGGGAAGUGGGAAGUUUUUCUCUGGGUUUGUCAUUAUUAUUGUUAAUUUUUUUAUAGUAGCUGUUGGAUAAUAUUUUCAGCUUUCCCAGAAAUGCUGUAACUGUAGAAAAUGAGGUCUUAUAUAAUUCACCCAGUUACAGAAGAAUUUUCCACUUUUUGCCAAGCAUUUCCACUGCUUUAAUCAUUAUUGUAGAGUGUGUUUUAGUGAGUUCAUAGUAAAGGUCAUGUGCAAGACAAAACUGAUAACCAAAGUUAUAAUAGGCUACGUUUUCCUCCUUAUUUGAUCCAGGAUGGUCCAGUACUGUUUGAAACACAUUUUGUGAUGAUUAACUGGGGCCAGAUGUGGAAUCAGUCAGGACACAUACCAAUUUUUAUCAAAUCACUUCCUGUGUUCCCUCUACUUUUCUGACUCUUGAAAUAAAAUAUACAUUUUUGAUAUCAAAA
Misgurnus anguillicaudatus (oriental weatherfish) is the source of this 2480-nucleotide non-coding RNA. The record is from RefSeq and is a predicted model, not a curated record. NCBI's taxonomy places the organism in Eukaryota, Metazoa, Chordata, Actinopteri, Cypriniformes, Cobitidae.